This 1137-nucleotide long non-coding RNA is filed under the name Homo sapiens (human). Its description in RNAcentral is "novel transcript". Lineage: Eukaryota; Metazoa; Chordata; Mammalia; Primates; Hominidae. The record is from RNAcentral.
CAGAGGGAGCCCCUGCAUGACUUAAGAAAACCGAAGGCAGGCAGAACAGAGACUUUUCAGGGUGCGAAGUUACGCAUGGUGCCCUCUACUGGAGUCACUGGUAAAGAGUUUUGAUUUCAAAAAGAAAUUGACGUAGAAUUUGUUCUUGUUCCAUUGUAUUGGUGAAGAAACUGAAGUUCAAAGUAAUUGGCAGAACAUACUACUUUGGGCAGUAUGGGAGUAGAGGCCUAUGGACGACCAGCAACAGGCUCCCUCAUAGGACUAAAGACUUCACCAUUCCCAUAGGAAGCCUUUUUCGUUAAGUGUACCAGCUUCAAGCAGCUAGAAACAAAUUUGAUUUAGCAAUUCAAAGUUUGCCAACCAUGGAUUACAGAGCAAACAAAACAAAACCUCAAGGACAAAAUAAAGAAGCAGAACACCUUGAAGAAAGAGCUGAUUCCAACUCUGAAGUGGGAAAUGUAUAGGAUGGGCGUGGUAGAAGAUCAGAAAGCUAUCAAAAACAAUUGAGGACAUGUUCAAAGAACUCAGGUGACAAAAGAGGAUCCCACUGGCCAAAAAUGGGACAAUCCAAAGCUCAAUGAAAAGAGCAAUUAUCCUAAGUUUGUAUGAAUCUGAGUCCCCAUCCAAGCUCUUUCACUUUAUUCUUUAGGUAAAAAUUGAGAUAAAUAGAACUUAUAAUCUUAUCCUCUUCCACCCUUAUGAGUCGUGUGCUUAUGACACCUAGGGAUGCUCAUCCACUUUGGAGACCACUGGUCCACUGGACUAGCUGAGAGAGGAGGAAUUUGUAGCUUGGGUUUACCUAUCACACAGUUGAAGUCUUAUCCAUCCUCCUCUUUACUGUGGUCCCCAGAACUGUGUCUUGAACAUGGCAAAAACUUGUUCAGCUGUCAUGAGAAAGUUGAGUGAUGAGACCUUGAGCGGGAAUCAUCAAUGAAAGGGCCAAGGAGAUGAGAUGGAGCAUUGUAAUCAACAAAAGUGCUAAACACCAAGAAGUGUUGUCCCAUAUUUUAUUACACUUGAGAAUGUCUUGCUAUUUUAGACGUUACAAGGUAUGGCAAGACAAUCUUGUAGCAGUGCUAGAAUGAUUCGUUGAAAUGCAUUCAAUCAGAAAUAAAAGAUGCUGUUAAUAACUGUCAC